Molecule: long non-coding RNA, 300 nt
Filed under: Nicotiana benthamiana
Lineage: Eukaryota; Viridiplantae; Streptophyta; Magnoliopsida; Solanales; Solanaceae
Description: long non-coding RNA (NBEN_LNC021463)
Source: RNAcentral
AUCCAAAUCCUAACAAUGUUGAAAUAUGUCGAAACUACGGGUGCAUUUCUGUGACGUGGUUCGAGAUGUGUUUUAAAUGACGUUGUAAUAUUCUUUAAAAAGUUAAAGAAAAGCAGUUUUAAAAGUCAAACAUUACACAGGCACAAAAAUGCAUUAAAAUCAGAUAAUCAAGCCAAAUAUAACAGUUGAGCGACCGUGCUAGAACCACGGCACUCGGGAAUGCCUAACACCUUCUCCUGAGUUAACAGAAUUCCUUACCCAGAUUUCUGGUUCGCAGACUGUUAAACAGAGUCAAACCUU